UCCAGGGUAGCCUAGUGGACAUGGCAUCUGUCCGAUAAGCGAAACACUCUGGGUUCGAUAUCCAUCCCUGGAC
RNAcentral lists this transfer RNA (73 nucleotides) under Cordylochernes scorpioides. RNAcentral's name for it is "tRNA-Ile". Lineage: Eukaryota; Metazoa; Arthropoda; Arachnida; Pseudoscorpiones; Chernetidae. The record is from RNAcentral.